This is a small nuclear RNA of Rattus rattus (black rat), 104 nucleotides long. NCBI's taxonomy places the organism in Eukaryota, Metazoa, Chordata, Mammalia, Rodentia, Muridae. The record is from RefSeq and is a predicted model, not a curated record.
GUGCUCGCUUCGGCAGCACAUGUACUAAAAUUAGAACAAUACAGAGGUUAGCAUGACCCAGCAUAGGGGCGACACCAUAAAUUCGUGAAGCGUUCCAUAUUUUA